Molecule: ribosomal RNA, 914 nt
Filed under: uncultured marine archaeon
Lineage: Archaea
Description: bacterial SSU rRNA
Rfam family: Archaeal small subunit ribosomal RNA
Source: RNAcentral
UUCCGGUUGAUCCUGCCGGACCUGACUGCUAUCGGAUUGAUACUAAGCCAUGCUAGUCUUUGUAGUAAUACAAGGCAUACGGCUCAGUAACGCGUAGUCAACCUACCCUAUGGACGGGGAUAAUCUCGGGAAACUGAGCAUAAUACCCGACAGACCACUUCUCCUGGAAUGGUUAGUGGUUAAAAUGAUUCGUCGCCAUAGGAUGGGACUGCGGCCUAUCAGCUUGUUGGUGAGGUAAUGGCCCACCAAGGCGAUUACAGGUACGGGCUCUGAGAGGAGAGGCCCGGAGAUGGGUACUGAGACAAGGACCCAGGCCCUAUGGGGCGCAGCAGGCGAGAAAACUUUGCAAUGUGCGAAAGCACGACAAGGUUAAUCCGAGUGAUUUCUGCUAAAGGAAUCUUUUGUUAGUUCUAAAAAUACUAGUGAAUAAGGGGUGGGCAAGUUCUGGUGUCAGCCGCCGCGGUAAAACCAGCACCUCAAGUGGUCAGGAGGAUUAUUGGGCCUAAAGCAUCCGUAGCCUGUUCUAUAAGUUUGCGGUUAAAUCUAUACGCUCAACGUAUAGGCUGCCGUAAAUACUGUAGAACUAGGGAGUGGGAGAGGUAGACGGUACUCGAUAGGAAGGGGUAAAAUCCUUUGAUCUAUUGAUGACCACCUGUGGCGAAGGCGGUCUACCAGAACACGUUCGACGGUGAGGGAUGAAAGCUGGGGGAGCAAACCGGAUUAGAUACCCGGGUAGUCCCAGCUGUAAACGAUGCAGACUCGAUGAUGCAAUGGCAUAGAGCUAUUGCAGUAUCGCAGGGAAGCCGUUAAGUCUGCCGCCUGGGAAGUACGUACGCAAGUAUGAAACUUAAAGGAAUUGGCGGGGGAGCACCGCAACCUGAGGAUUGUGCGGUUUAAUUGGAUUCAACGCCGGG